AUCGCUUCUCGGCCUUUUGGCUAAGAUCAAGUGUAGUAUAAAUUAUCCUAAUGGACCACUAUAUUAAUAUAUUUCUUUCCCUAUAAAACAUCC
Heterocephalus glaber (naked mole-rat) is the source of this 93-nucleotide small nuclear RNA. Its record names the gene U2. It matches the Rfam family "U2 spliceosomal RNA". Rfam says of the family: U2 is a small nuclear RNA (snRNA) component of the spliceosome (involved in pre-mRNA splicing). Complementary binding between U2 snRNA (in an area lying towards the 5' end but 3' to hairpin I) and the branchpoint sequence (BPS) of the intron results the bulging out of an unpaired adenosine, on the BPS, which initiates a nucleophilic attack at the intronic 5' splice site, thus starting the first of two transesterification reactions that mediate splicing. The record is from Ensembl. Lineage: Eukaryota; Metazoa; Chordata; Mammalia; Rodentia; Bathyergidae.